RNAcentral lists this ribosomal RNA (395 nucleotides) under uncultured bacterium. Its description in RNAcentral is "bacterial SSU rRNA". It matches the Rfam family "Bacterial small subunit ribosomal RNA", at positions 28 to 416 of the family's 1533-position model. The record is from RNAcentral.
GAUGAACGCUGGCGGCGUGCCUAACACAUGCAAGUCGAGCGGGAUUGUGGAGUAGCUUGCUACGAAGCAAUCUAGCGGCGGACGGGUGAGUAACGCGUGGGCAACCUGCCCUAUACAGGGGGAUAACACACCGAAAGGUGUGCUAAUACCCCAUAACACCGAUGCUUCGCAUGGAGCGCCGGUCAAAGAUUUAUCGGUAUAGGAUGGGCCCGCGUCUGAUUAGCUAGUUGGUGAGGUAAAGGCUCACCAAGGCGACGAUCAGUAGCCGACCUGAGAGGGUGAUCGGCCACACUGGAACUGAGACACGGUCCAGACUCCUACGGGAGGCAGCAGUGGGGAAUAUUGCACAAUGGGGGAAACCCUGAUGCAGCAACGCCGCGUGAGCGAUGAAGGCC